ACCUUGUACCCACAGCUUCACCCAGUCGCCGAAUCAUCUCAAAACAUUGUCGCCCUCCUUACAGUUGAGCUAACUACUUCUGAAGUAAAACCCCACUCCCAUAGUGACAGGCGGUGUCAGCUCAGACCAGAACGUAUUCACCGCGACAUGCAGAUGCACGAUUACUGCUGAUUCCGACUUCACGCAGUCAGGUGCAGGCUUCCUGAUCCGGACUACGAUCGGGUUUCUGGAAUUCAGCGGCUCCCCCCUCGCAGGUUGGCGACCCUCUGUCCCGACCGAUGUACUGGCGUGUGGAAGCCCUACCGCAAGGGCUGCGGACUUGACCGUCAUCCCCACCUUCUCCGGUUUGCCUGCAGCGGUCUAGUAGAGUGCCCUUCGUAGCAACUAAUAGCCGAGUUUUGCUCGUUGCGGGACUUAACUAACAUCUCCACGUGCAGGCGGCGUGUAUUGCAGCAUAUGUUCUGGGUUCUCUUUGCGACACCCAAAUCUCUUCGGGAUUCCAGACAUGUCAAGGGUAGGUAAGGUUUUCGCGUUGCAUCAUUCAUCCAUCAUCCACCACCGCUUGUGUGGGUCCCCGUCAAUUCCUUUGAGUUUUGGCUCCCGACCGUACUCCCCAGGCGGUCCUUCACGGUAGCUGCUGCGAGGCGGCCCCAACAGCUAGUUGGUAUCGUUGGGCAUGAAUACCAAGGUAUCUAAUCCUGUUUGCUCCCAUAUGACAUGACGUCGGUGUUAUCCCAGGAGGCUGCCUUCGCCAUCAGUGUUCCUCCGCAUAUCUACGCAUUUCACUGCUACACGCGGAAUUCACCUCCCUCUGACACUCUAGCUCGGCCGUUAAAGUAGUUCCAAAGUUAAGCUCUGGGAUUUCAUCUUUCUUUCCGAACCGCCUGCGCACGCUUUACGCCCAGUAAUUCCAGUUAACGCUUGCACCUACUGUUACCGCAGCUGCUGUGGCACGUGAUUAGCCGUGCCCAUUCUCACCUGGUACCGUCAGUUGCACGGACUAUUAUCCGUGCCGUUUCUUUCCUGCCAAAAACCUUUACAACCAGGAAGCCCCCUUCCAUCACCCUUUUUGCGGGAUGGCUGGAUCAGGGUUUCCCCAUUGUCCAAAAUUCCCCACUGCUCCCGUAGGAGUCUGAAGCCGUAUCUCCAGUCCCAGUGUGGCUGGUCGUCCUCUCAAACCGGCUAUGGAUCGUCGCUAACCGGUGACCGUUACCCACCAUUAAGCUGAGCUCCGAUAUCGGCCCGCUCUAAUAGUGCGAGGCCCGAAAUUCCCCGCUUCCCCGAGGCGCGUACGUAUUAACAGCCGCUUUCGCGCGUAGUUAUCCCCACUUCACUACAGGCACGUUCCGAUACAUUACUCACCCGUUUCGCCACUCGCCACCAGACUGAAGUCCGUGCUGCCGUUCGACUUGCAUGUAUGGCAGGCAUCCCGCCAGCGUUUAAUCUGAGCCAUAAUCAGAC
RNAcentral lists this ribosomal RNA (1461 nucleotides) under uncultured Bordetella sp. RNAcentral describes it as "partial 16S-23S ribosomal RNA intergenic spacer". Lineage: Bacteria; Pseudomonadati; Pseudomonadota; Betaproteobacteria; Burkholderiales; Alcaligenaceae. The record is from RNAcentral.